AUUUUGGGAGAAUUGCAAUGAACCGUAAAGCAAAGUGGUGAUGAUGUGACGGGAGCCAAAUCACAAUCUGUUCAAUAUCAGUUCAUUGGUAGGAUUGAUAUGAACAAAGCCUGUAAUCUGACCUGGAUGCAUAGGGUUGCCAUUUUCAACCCACCAGCCUCCCAUGUUACCCUCCCAUGUUACCCUACCUCGCAGGCCUCAUCAAUUAUUCAGUAGGCCAGGGAAAGUGCUGGUCUCCAGUCCCCCACUGAGUCUGGGACAGCAGUAGCAAGAUCGUCCAGGACCGGGAUGAUGCUAAGGAAGGUAGGGCCAGGAGUAUGCAGGUGGCCAACCCUGCUGUUUUGGUGCCUGUAUGUCUUCGUGGAGGAGCACACUGUGUAUGGCCACAACAGAACUGUGGAAACCAGGGAGAUGGAGAGGCCAUUUUGUGAACAAGGAUACUAUUGUCCAGUGGGAAGUCCCACACCAGUGCCAUGUCCGAAGGGUACAUUUGGGCCGACGGUUGGUGCUAGUUCCAUGGACAGCUGUCUCAGCUGCCCAACCAACCACUACUGUCCGCGACCUGCUCUGACCUCAGGCAUACCCUGUGGAGCCUGGGCACAGCAGCCCCUACCUGGCCAGGACAGAUGUGUGUGUCUUGGAGAAGGGCAAACCUUCCAGGCCAGUGAUGGGCAGUGCCCCUGUGCCCUAGGGUACCGCCUCAUGGGCCAAGGGGACACUUGUUUGCACAGUGUCUAUGAUAUUUGUAGAGAUGGGAGAGCGAGGACACAACAUGGAACCUGUCUGGACAGGCAGCAGUGGGCACAGCACUGUACCCAACAGGUGUGUCUCUCUCCAGGGGACUACCAGGGCUUUGAUGGAUCUCUGGGCCUGUGUCUGUGCAGGGAACCCCCAGAGAGAGCUGUGUGUGGGGGCUGGUGUAGGAGCAGGCCAAAGCUGGCACUGCAUUUAGUGUGUGCUGCCGUAGACUUGCAGCUGGUAUAUAGCAACUCUGAAGGCCAGGUGAGCGUCUCCGGGAGUGUGUUGCUGGAGACCAUGUUCAAACGCUGGGACUCCCAGGGGACCUUGCAGUGUGACGGUCGCCACAAUGUCUCCCUUCCUGUGUACACAGUGCAAACAAAUGAUGCAGGGUUCCUUGGUCUCCUCAAUGACGUCCCAGCGGAGAUUCGGAAGUUAUUUCCAGAGAAAAGCCUGGGAAUGCACAUCUCUACAGGUGACUCUGGUGUCAGAGAGGAAGGAGGGGCUGGGUCUGAUUGGUCCAGCAGAGCAACCACCUGGGGAGGAACCAUGAACUCCAGCUCUGUGGGGAUUCUGAACCCUACUGCAUGUCUACACCUAUGGGACACACUGCUCUUCACUGUCACCAGACAACAUUACCCUCAGUAUGAUGUAGAGAACCUGUACAAUACCAACCGUGACUUUGACUGGGGUCCUCUGAGACGGCUGGCUGAGGACCUGACACUGGCCAGGACACCACCGACACUCUUCUCAUUGGUCUUCACUCAGCCUGGGGUGUACGCCUUCAAACACAGCGAUCAUCAAUACAAACACAUGUAUGUGAGGGUAAUGCCAGCAGGUGGACAGUGCUAUGAGGCUGGACCGUUCUUCCCCACUGUCCCCCAUCAUGUGACAAGAAUGGGCAUCGCCAAGAGACGACACCUGCUUCUACGCCCUGACUGGUUGGUGACAGGAGGACUGCUGCUUGGCGCAAUGGUCAUCCUCAGCCUGUGUGUGACGCUGCUGAUCUUGUUUCGGGAGUAUGGCUGGCCAGAGAAAGUGGCCACCAGAGCCCAGUACCGUACACUCCAGCUCCAGUACCCCAUGGAAGACUACGCCUCAAAGGGUUCCAGGGUGACGACAUUAAAGAAGUACCACAGAAACCUCCAGGCCAGGAUGACGGAGGCCUCUAUACAGCCCGGUGAAGGACCUGUAUCAGGGGGUGAUGGACAAGCUGAAGGGGCUCCAGCUGCAGCCGGGCUGGUCUGCAGUUGGGAAGACCAGGGAGGGCUAUGAGAGGCUGCGGAGGCAGGUGGAGCAGGAGGUGAUCCGACGUAGGUCCCUGGCCCAGCAGCUCAGGCAUCUCUUGGACAGUCAGCUCGGGGUCCUGAGGACAGAGCUGAUGGCCCAGCAGACGGUGCACAGGACCUUCGGGGCCCAUCUCAGGGAGUGUGUGAGGCUACUGGGCCAAGCAGUGGACAACACUGACCACCCUCUCUGGGAUGAACACCCACAACAGUAAUGUCUGAAUCUGUGUCCCUUGCCUCUUCCUGUCAUGCCUGUGUGUUCUGGAAAGAGCUUUGAACUACAGCUGUUUUUAAUUGGCCAGGGGUAUUAAUGAGAAUAUUACAGUUUUUCUCAAUCCCGUACAAGCAUGUCUUGGACCAAUGUUAUCAUUUUACAAAACAAAGUCCACAAAAACACAGAACUCGUGGCCUUUUGCAAAACUCAAAACAUAUAUACAUUCAUCAAAACUAUAUUAUACUGUCAAAAUUUCUAACUGAAGAAAUUCAUCAAAAGACCACGACUGCCUGUGAAAAGAUUAACGCAACCAUACUUCGAGUCAAAGCAGACAAAAGAGAAAGUUAGUCUGUCUUUUUAAAAAUUCCAGAAGAUCAACACAUUUUCUUUGUAGUCACUAAAUCAUGGUCAAAAUUGGAACAACAACUAUCCAAAGGUGCAUAAUUAUAGGUCAUUACUCUCCUUUUAUGCAUAUUUCACCAAACAAUUUUAUACACAUAAAAUAAAAAUAAAAAACAAGCACAUUUGAGGGCCUCCCGGGUGGCGCAGUGGUCUAAGGCAGUGCACGCUGACCAGGUCGCUAGGUGUAUGGUGUUUCCUCCGGCACAUUGGUGCGGCUGGCUUCCAGGUUGGAUGUGCACUGUGUUAAAAAGCAGUGGGGCAUGGUUGGGUUGUGUUUCAGAGGACGCAUGGCUUUCGACCUUCGUCUCUCCCGAGCCCGUACGGGAGUUGUAGCGAUGAGACAAGACAGUAACUACUAAUAAUUGAAUACCACGAAAUUGGGGAGGAAAAGGGGGUAAGAAAAUAAAUAGAGCUUUAAAAUGGAAGGUCACAAUGUUGGAGAUGAUGACUUAGAAGUAACCCAACUUCAUUCUAUACAUGUCUGCAAUAUUGUAAAAAAGAAAUCUAAAAAAAGUGUCCCUAUUGUCUAGAUAUUUCCCUAUAUUGUACAUGGUAUGACACUGAUAACAUGAUUUAGAAUUUAGUAGUAUAAUGCAGUAGUAUCACUUAUUGACAGAAAGAGUGAACACAUUUAUCUUCCGAUGAAAAUAUCUGUUCCUAUUCAGUCAACAAAACACUUGACAUUUGUAUUUAAAGUUCAGCAAAAGUUGGUCUAAGAUAUGUAAGUCAGGUCCAAAAGGCAAGAAAAUAAUGAGUUUCUGUAAAUGUAUUUUAAGAAUUUGAUCAUUGCUGUUCUUUUAUUGAUACGUUUCAAUACAGACGCAAAAAUUGCUUGUACAUGAUUAAAAAU
This is a long non-coding RNA of Oncorhynchus tshawytscha (Chinook salmon), 3490 nucleotides long. The record is from Ensembl. Lineage: Eukaryota; Metazoa; Chordata; Actinopteri; Salmoniformes; Salmonidae.